RNAcentral lists this ribosomal RNA (271 nucleotides) under uncultured Spirochaetaceae bacterium. RNAcentral's name for it is "partial 16S ribosomal RNA". It matches the Rfam family "Bacterial small subunit ribosomal RNA", at positions 1116 to 1382 of the family's 1533-position model. Lineage: Bacteria; Pseudomonadati; Spirochaetota; Spirochaetia; Spirochaetales; Spirochaetaceae. The record is from RNAcentral.
ACCCAACACCGGUUUAUGGUGGGGACGUCUGGCGGAACUGCCGGUGACAAACCGGAGGAAGGUGGGGAUGACGUCAAGUCCUCAUGGCCCUUAUGUCCAGGGCUACACACGUGCUACAAUGGCCGGUACAGAGUGACGCGAAGCCGCGAGGUGAAGCAAAUCGCAAAAAGCCGGCCUUAGUUCGGAUUGGAGUCUGAAACUCGACUCCAUGAAGGUGGAAUCGCUAGUAAUCGCGCAUCAGCAUGGCGCGGUGAAUACGUUCCCGGGCCUU